ACCUCCACCCAGCUCUCCGGCUGCGUCGUCCGCCGUCCGCUUCCUGGCGGCUGUGUGCCUGCGUCGUCCCCGUCCGCGGCGUCUCCGGCCCUCCGCGUGAUUGGCGAGACCGCGAGAGGCGAGCGCAUCGCAUCGGGCGCUAGCGUGCCGCCUCCGUCCUCGGCCUCCGCCCCUCCGCAGCUCCGCUCGUCUGCCCGACGCCGCCACGCCGGACACUCUACAGCAAGCCGUCGUUGUUUGGCUUGCCUGUGUGGCGCCGGCGGGCCAGCAGCGCUCCCUUCUCGCCGUCGCCACAAGCACGAACUCUUCCCUCCAGGCCUCCACAGUUCCACCCCUCCAGGCUCCAGCUCCGCUUCCAGGAUUCCAGAAAUUCUGAAUUAUGAAGAGGAAUGGGGAUAUUGCUUCUCUCUUUAGGAAGCAUGAAGCAAAGAAAUUUGCUGCUGCUGCUUUAUCUCCACCAGCUCCGGCUACAAAAGUUGUUGAAGAGGGAGAUCGGGAGCACGAGAGUGGAACUGAAGAAAUUGUGGAAUCUAGCCUUGUGCAAUCUUCUGUGGUUUCAGAAAUACAUUUGGACUUAAUAUGUUUGAACCAUUUGCAUUAUAAUUUAUGGACCCUUGGUACUUAAUUGUUGAAUUUAA
This is a long non-coding RNA of Panicum virgatum (switchgrass), 638 nucleotides long. RefSeq lists it as uncharacterized. The transcript is spliced from 2 exons. Lineage: Eukaryota; Viridiplantae; Streptophyta; Magnoliopsida; Poales; Poaceae. The record is from RefSeq and is a predicted model, not a curated record.